This is a long non-coding RNA of Acanthopagrus latus (yellowfin seabream), 433 nucleotides long. RefSeq lists it as uncharacterized. The transcript has 2 exons. Lineage: Eukaryota; Metazoa; Chordata; Actinopteri; Spariformes; Sparidae. The record is from RefSeq and is a predicted model, not a curated record.
UGUUCCUCGUCAUGUCAUUAGUGUCUGUGUAUUUAGUCUCUGUGUUCCCCUCACUCCUUGUCUGGUCAUUGUUUCUGUUUGUUGUGUUCUGUCUUGUGAUUACUCCUGUUCCUGCUCCUCGCUCUCGUCCAUGCUCCUGUCACGUUUGGGUGCCAUCAAUCACACACUGCGGUGCACAUUUUGGAAAAACAACGCAUGCAGCUGUUGCGCUCCCAGAAGCUCUCGCCGUUUGGUCCCGGACGCAGUGAUUGGUGACAGCGAGGGGUCUUGGGAGAGUAAAGUGGGCGUGACUGCGGACACAGUUUCUCCUGUUUAUUGUCGCUGGCUGUCUUAACUGCGGACAAAACUGUUUUCAUCUCUGUAAUUGUGUUCGUUCGGAACAAAGCAGGCUGUUGGGAAAUAGACCUUAAUUAAUGCCUAAUGGUAAUGCGAA